RNAcentral lists this ribosomal RNA (371 nucleotides) under uncultured bacterium. Its description in RNAcentral is "bacterial SSU rRNA". It matches the Rfam family "Bacterial small subunit ribosomal RNA", at positions 524 to 898 of the family's 1533-position model. The record is from RNAcentral.
UACGUAGGGGGCGAGCGUUGUCCGGAUUUACUGGGCGUAAAGGGUGAGUAGGCGGUUAUAUAUGUCAGGUGUAAAAAGCUAUGGCUUAACCAUAGUAAGCACUUGAAACUGUAUGACUUGAGUGCAGGAGAGGUAAGCGGAAUUCCUAGUGUAGCGGUGAAAUGCGUAGAUAUUAGGAGGAACACCGGUGGCGAAGGCGGCUUACUGGACUGUAACUGACGCUGAGUCACGAAAGCGUGGGUAGCAAACAGGAUUAGAUACCCUGGUAGUCCACGCCGUAAACGAUGAGUGCUAGGUGUUGGGCAGCAAUGCUCAGUGCCGAAGUAAACACAAUAAGCACUCCGCCUGGGGAGUACGUACGCAAGUAUGAA